RNAcentral lists this ribosomal RNA (232 nucleotides) under uncultured bacterium. RNAcentral's name for it is "partial 16S ribosomal RNA". It matches the Rfam family "Bacterial small subunit ribosomal RNA", at positions 118 to 350 of the family's 1533-position model. The record is from RNAcentral.
UGGGCAACCUGCCCCCGGCCCUGGGAUAACCCCGGGAAACCGGAGCUAAUACCGGAUACUCUCCUCCGACCACAUGGUCAGAAGAGGAAAGGUCCGCCGGUCGGGGAUGGGCCCGCGGCCUAUCAGCUUGUUGGUGGGGUAACGGCCUACCAAGGCAUCGACGGGUAGCUGGUCUGAGAGGACGGCCAGCCACACUGGGACUGAGACACGGCCCAGACUCCUACGGGAGGCA